Molecule: long non-coding RNA, 2085 nt
Organism: Magnolia sinica
Lineage: Eukaryota; Viridiplantae; Streptophyta; Magnoliopsida; Magnoliales; Magnoliaceae
Exons: 2
Source: RefSeq, a predicted model, not a curated record
AAUGGUUAUCACUGUCAAAGAAACCUUGUUUUUUAGGCAUGCCCCAAUGAGGAGCAGACUGUCAUGACUUGUGGGCAAGGGAAUGUACAUAGCAGGGUCCACUUACUGAUGGCUUGGACACUCACCGCACAUGCCUGCAUGUAGAUGGGCCGGGUAAUGCACAGGUGGGAUUAGAAAACCUCAGUCUGCAGUAAUCGAUCAAAUUUUUUUUCGGCAAAUGACAUAGAGUUGAGCAUCAAAUACAUAAAUAUAUAACACAUUAGAAUUACAAAGAUACAAGCUUUCAGCUAGCUGUUAGUGUGAGGGACACUUCAAGUAGAUUAUUUAUUUAUUUAUUUCAUGAAUCACUAAAAUAUAUUUCAAAAAAGAAGAAAGGAUAAUACAUCAUCAUCUUCUCAUUUUUGAAUGCACACAGACACUCCACAAACAACUUUUGCUGAAAUUUCUUUCCAUCCAUCAUGGAUUGCAUGGACUCAUUUUAAUUUUCUUAUUCUUUUGGCAAACCAGGUGAUGAUUGUGGAAAUCAGUCCUCUACUUGUCAAUGAUUUGUAUUUUCUGGAAGAAUUAUAUACAUGAUUGUUGUGGUCACAACAUUUCUUCGGUGGUAUUUUACUUAAACUUUAAUCAGAAUUGCAACAUGGGUUUGCAAGGAAGCAACCGGCUCCGACAAUGCCAAAGACCCAACAUUCCUUUUAUUGUUUUGUUGUCAUAAAAAAAAAUUAAAUUCAGUUAGUCCAGUUAUCUAUUUUUAUGAAUUAUUAUUGUAUUAUUUUCUUUCCAAAAAUCAGGUCUCCGCCAAAACUUGUGGAUGUGACAAUGGUUGCAACUGGCAUCAUUCUGGGUCCAUAUGCUUUCACUUGCAGAAAUUGCUACUAAAUGGAAGUGUACUUUAAGCUGAACAUCGUUAAAUACCUGUUGGAAGGUAUAUCUUCAAAUUAUCAGUUCAUCUCUUGUAAUUGACAAGAAUUUUGUUCUUUUAAUUGGUUGGUUAUUUGUUCCAAUGCAAACUAGUAAAUAUGCAGAAUUCCACUUGUCAAAUUUUUUUUUUUUUUGUAGAGGCCAAAGUGCUUCAUUGUUGUAUGAACAAAAUAGGAAGUCAAACAAGUGAAGUUCAUUGGGAUAUCUAAAACAGUUUAAAUUCAUUUUUAAAGAAAUGGGUUUGAUUGAAUUGUUCCAUUUCAAUCGGCAAAUGUCACAUUGCCAUGCAUAUCCAUCAUGUCUUGCAGGUAUGCAAGGAUGAGUUCUACAUUAUGAAAGGUUGGCCGACCUAUUUUGUACUCUAUAUGUGAAUGGUAAGUGCAUGUUCAACUAAAAGUUACACGCUUCGGCAAUAAGCCAAUAAUAGCUCAUUCAUUGGUUGUAUCUCUUUUAUGCUUCCUAUUUCAAUGUAUGGAGCACACGUAUGUGCUUUUUGUGCUUUCUCAGAUUUUGGGGUGAGCGUCCCUAUCUUUAGUUAGUCUUCUUUAUAAGAUUUCUGUUUUUGGGCUAUAUGGAUAUUCUCAGUUUUCCAUUUUGGUGCCUUAGAAAUAGUUGAUGAUUACUCACAGGUAAUAUAUCAAUGUUCUAAUCCUUCGGUAGGUACCUCUAUUGCUCAUACUUUGAUGAAGUCCACAGUGGCUGCGUCUAGUAAACAGAGAAUUAGAUGGACUAGGGAACUGCACGGGCAAUUUGUUAAAGCUGUCAACCAUCUUGAAGGUGUGGCGAGCAGGCUGACAAGCUAAAGGAGUCAUUGGAGGAUGAAAUUCAUUUUCUCAAGGGAAGGGUUUCAGAACUUGAAAGUAAUCUUGUGUUAAAGUCCACAGAAAUUACAUCUGCAGUUUCAGGGAAAGAAGAAACUCUAUCUUCUGUAUUUGCUAAAAUUUACCAUUUGAAGGAAGAAAAUUCUGUAAAAAUGUGAGCAUUAUUGCAUUAUAUGGAGGGUGUUUACUGUGUUGGAGUGUAUUUGUUUCUUGCACAUGAGGGCAUGCCUUAGUUGUAAUUCUUAUGAUAGGUUGAGCAAAGUGAAGUAUUGUUUAUUUAGAAAUGUGAAUGUGGGAUGCAUUGUAUGAUUUGAUUGCUAUUUGUAAUAAAUGCAUCAUUUUUUUU